AGUGGGGAAUAUUGCACAAUGGAGGAAACUCUGAUGCAGCAACGCCGCGUGGAGGAUGACGCAUUUCGGUGUGUAAACUCCUUUUAUAUAGGAAGAUAAUGACGGUACUAUAUGAAUAAGCACCGGCUAACUCCGUGCCAGCAGCCGCGGUAAUACGGAGGGUGCAAGCGUUACUCGGAAUCACUGGGCGUAAAGCGCAUGCAGGCGGUUUAUUAAGUUGGAAGUGAAAUCCUAUGGCUCAACCAUAGAACUGCUUCCAAAACUGAUAAACUAGAGUCUGGGAGGGGAAGAUGGAAUUAGUAGUGUAGGGGUAAAAUCCGUAGAGAUUACUAGGAAUACCAAAAGCGAAGGCGAUCUUCUGGAACAGUACUGACGCUGAGAUGCGAAAGCGUGGGGAGCAAACAGGAUUAGAUACCCUGGUAGUCCACGCAGUAAACGAUGAAUGUUAGUCGUUGGGACUCUAGUAGUUUCAGUGAUGCAGUUAACACAUUAAACAUUCCGCCUGGGGAGUACGGUCGCAAGAUUAAAACUCAAAGGAAUAGACGGGGACCCGCACAAGUGGUGGAGCAUGUGGUUUAAUUCGAAGAUACGCGAAGAACCUUACCUAGCCUUGACAUACUACAGAAUUUGACAGAGAUGUUGAAGUGCCUUCGGGAGCUGUAAUACAGGUGCUGCACGGCUGUCGUCAGCUCGUGUCGUGAGAUGUUGGGUUAAGUCCCGCAACGAGCGCAACCCUCGUCCUUAGUUACUAACGGUUCGGCCGAGGACUCUAAGGAGACUGCCUUCGUAAGGAGGAGGAAGGUGAGGACGACGUCAAGUCAUCAUGGCCCUUACGGCUAGGGCAACACACGUGCUACAAUGGUUAGGACAAUGAGAAGCGAUACCGCGAGGUGGAGCAAAUCUAUAAACCUAAUCUCAGUUCGGAUAGCAGUCUGCAACUCGACUGCUUGAAGCUGGAAUCACUAGUAAUCGUAAAUCAGCUAUGUUACGGUGAAUACGU
Molecule: ribosomal RNA, 1000 nt
Filed under: uncultured bacterium
Lineage: Bacteria
Description: bacterial SSU rRNA
Rfam family: Bacterial small subunit ribosomal RNA
Source: RNAcentral